GACGAACGCUGGCGGCGUGCCUAAUACAUGCAAGUAGAACGCUGAAGAGAGGAGCUUGCUCUUCUUGGAUGAGUUGCGAACGGGUGAGUAACGCGUAGGUAACCUGCCUUGUAGCGGGGGAUAACUAUUGGAAACGAUAGCUAAUACCGCAUAACAAUAGGUGACACAUGUCAUUUAUUUGAAAGGGGCAAUUGCUCCACUACAAGAUGGACCUGCGUUGUAUUAGCUAGUAGGUGAGGUAACGGCUCACCUAGGCGACGAUACAUAGCCGACCUGAGAGGGUGAUCGGCCACACUGGGACUGAGACACGGCCCAGACUCCUACGGGAGGCAGCAGUAGGGAAUCUUCGGCAAUGGGGGCAACCCUGACCGAGCAACGCCGCGUGAGUGAAGAAGGUUUUCGGAUCGUAAAGCUCUGUUGUAAGUCAAGAACGAGUGUGAGAGUGGAAAGUUCACACUGUGACGGUAGCUUACCAGAAAGGGACGGCUAGCUACGUG
Molecule: ribosomal RNA, 497 nt
Filed under: uncultured bacterium
Lineage: Bacteria
Description: partial 16S ribosomal RNA
Rfam family: Bacterial small subunit ribosomal RNA
Source: RNAcentral